This 256-nucleotide ribosomal RNA is filed under the name uncultured bacterium. RNAcentral describes it as "partial 16S ribosomal RNA". It matches the Rfam family "Bacterial small subunit ribosomal RNA", at positions 524 to 776 of the family's 1533-position model. The record is from RNAcentral.
UACGGAGGGUGCGAGCGUUUGUCCGGAAUCAUUGGGCGUAAAGGGCGCGUAGGUGGCCUGCUAAGCGUGCGGUGAAAGUCGGGGGCUCAACCCCCGAUCGGCCGUGCGAACUGGGAGGCUUGAGCACUGUAGAGGCAGGCGGAAUUCCGGGUGUAGCGGUGGAAUGCGUAGAGAUCCGGAAGAACACCGGUGGCGAAGGCGGCCUGCUGGGCAGUUUUGCUGACACUGAGGCGCGACAGCGUGGGGAGCAAACAGG